AACGAACGCUGGCGGCAGGCUUAACACAUGCAAGUCGAACGGAUCCUUCGGGAUUAGUGGCAGACGGGUGAGUAACGCGUGGGAACGUACCCUUUGCUACGGAAUAACUCAGGGAAACUUGAGCUAAUACCGUAUGUGCCCUACGGGGGAAAGAUUUAUCGGCAAAGGAUCGGCCCGCGUUGGAUUAGCUAGUUGGUGGGGUAAUGGCCUACCAAGGCGACGAUCCAUAGCUGGUCUGAGAGGAUGAUCAGCCACACUGGGACUGAGACACGGCCCAGACUCCUACGGGAGGCAGCAGUGGGGAAUAUUGGACAAUGGGCGCAAGCCUGAUCCAGCCAUGCCGCGUGAGUGAUGAAGGUCUUAGGAUUGUAAAGCUCUUUCACCGGUGAAGAUAAUGACGGUAGCCGGAGAAAAAGCCCCGGCUAACUUCGUG
RNAcentral lists this ribosomal RNA (433 nucleotides) under uncultured bacterium. RNAcentral describes it as "partial 16S ribosomal RNA". It matches the Rfam family "Bacterial small subunit ribosomal RNA", at positions 29 to 507 of the family's 1533-position model. The record is from RNAcentral.